CAGAGCAGUUAGAGGGGUUGGGGGUGGUUGCUGAUUCAAUUCCUUCUGCUUCUCAGCUCUAGGUGUCUAUUAUGCAGAAGGAAGCUUGCCACCUGAACAAUGGAAAACAUCUGACUCUGGAGAAAACAGAGAUAGUUGAGAAGAAAAGACUUUCUCAGUGGCCAGUCCUAAGGAUGUUUGUAGUGCAAAAUGACUGCUACAGGUUACUCAUGAGCAACAGAACUGACCUCUCCUGGUACUUUGCAAGCUGCUAUGGUAAAAGACUCACAUAAGAAAAGAUCCUGUGGAAACACAGAAGAAUGGAAUCUUAGAAUGGCAAGCAGCAGUAUAACGUUUUAAGAAACGAGCAUAUUGCCUCUCAGCAUUUUGUUGUGCUAUAACGAUUCAAAGAUGGAAAAUCUUUGAAUUUAAACCAGAAAUUAAAACCUUUGAAUUAAAACUGAAAAAUUUAAACCAGAAAUCAUAGCAAUAGUGUAGUAAUGUUAUGUUAUUGUUGUUACAAUAAUUUUAAUUUGCAUCUGUGUCCCAUACG
Molecule: long non-coding RNA, 532 nt
Filed under: Bos mutus (wild yak)
Lineage: Eukaryota; Metazoa; Chordata; Mammalia; Artiodactyla; Bovidae
Description: lncRNA (ENSBMUG00000020225.1)
Source: RNAcentral